This is a regulatory RNA element of Lactobacillus acidophilus NCFM, 98 nucleotides long. It matches the Rfam family "Purine riboswitch aptamer". Rfam says of the family: Riboswitches are metabolite binding domains within certain messenger RNAs that serve as precision sensors for their corresponding targets. Allosteric rearrangement of mRNA structure is mediated by ligand binding, and this results in modulation of gene expression. The record is from Rfam. Lineage: Bacteria; Bacillati; Bacillota; Bacilli; Lactobacillales; Lactobacillaceae.
GAUUAAGCCAAUACAAAUAUCUAUAUAUCGUCGAAAUAAGGUCGACAGUUUCUACCCACUACCGUAAAUGGUGGACUAUAGGUAAACGAAAUUAAGAA